Molecule: transfer RNA, 69 nt
Filed under: Devario interruptus
Lineage: Eukaryota; Metazoa; Chordata; Actinopteri; Cypriniformes; Danionidae
Description: tRNA-Ser
Source: RNAcentral
AAGAAAGGGCAAGAAAACAAUAAGUACUGCUAACACUUAUUCCCAGGGUUAAACUCCGUGGCUUUCUCA